AAAAAUUGACUUAACAGAAAAAAACGUGAAUCGUGGGAAAAGGCUGGAUCAGAAUCAGAAGCAUCAGUCUUUCUGGUGGCUCUGGACCUGCUGGUUUCUCAGGCAUGCUCACAGGGACACAUUCCUAAGGAUUGAUGGUCUUACAUGUGGUAAUCCUGGUGAAUUGCCAUGGCCAGGACUCAGGGAUAAGAUAUUAAUGGGUUUGGAUACGUGAGGUAUGUGUCUUCAUUUUGUUGACUAUUUGCACUGCCCCAGAAGCCGCUCUAGGUGUCCCCUCACAGGUUUCUGUUCCCUGUGCCUUCCUCAUGAGGUACAGAGAGGGGUAGGUUUGAUACAGGGAGAGCACAGAGUGCAAAUACAGCUUUGUGCACAACAAAAUUUGCCCAUGCAUCUCUCUUAAUACAUCGGUAUAAGUUCCAGCUACCAUAGAGUGUUCCUUCCAGACAGUAUUUAUCUUUUUGAAUACCAUCAUUCUCACCAGUACAGUUUCCUCUUGAGCUGUAUUUAAUGU
Long non-coding RNA from Pezoporus occidentalis (night parrot), 511 nucleotides. RefSeq lists it as uncharacterized. The record is from RefSeq and is a predicted model, not a curated record. The transcript is spliced from 3 exons. Lineage: Eukaryota; Metazoa; Chordata; Aves; Psittaciformes; Psittacidae.